RNAcentral lists this RNase P RNA (358 nucleotides) under Oscillospiraceae bacterium. Its description in RNAcentral is "RNase P RNA component class A". It matches the Rfam family "Bacterial RNase P class A". Rfam says of the family: Ribonuclease P (RNase P) is a ubiquitous endoribonuclease, found in archaea, bacteria and eukarya as well as chloroplasts and mitochondria. Its best characterised activity is the generation of mature 5'-ends of tRNAs by cleaving the 5'-leader elements of precursor-tRNAs. Cellular RNase Ps are ribonucleoproteins. Lineage: Bacteria; Bacillati; Bacillota; Clostridia; Eubacteriales; Oscillospiraceae. The record is from RNAcentral.
CGGGUCGAUCGAACGGUCGCGCGGUAUGGCGCCGUAAGGUAUUACCGUGAGGAAAGUCCGGGCUUCACAGGACAAGGAUAACGGAUAACGUCCGCCGUGGGUAACCACCGGGAAAGUGCAACAGAAACAAACCGCCGCACAAGCGGUAAGGAUGGAAAGGCGAGGUAAGAGCUCACCCGUUCCUAUGGCAACAUAGGUCCGCUGUAAACCCUAUCCGAAGCAACACCCCAAGGAGUGCUUUGUCCGGCAUUUGCUCCGGGGUGGCACGGAGAGAACAUCUCCGAAGCGUUUCCGGCAACGGAACGCGCAGAUUGAUGACCGUUCCCGACAGAACCCGGCUUACAGGUCGGCCCAAUAA